Molecule: ribosomal RNA, 250 nt
Filed under: uncultured bacterium
Lineage: Bacteria
Description: partial 16S ribosomal RNA
Rfam family: Bacterial small subunit ribosomal RNA
Source: RNAcentral
UAGAUACCCUGGUAGUCCUGGCCGUAAACGAUGGAUACUAGGCGUAUCGGGUAUCGACCCCUGAUGUGCCGCAGCUAACGCGAUAAGUAUCCCGCCUGAGUAGUACGGCCGCAAGGUUGAAACUCAAAGGAAUUGACGGGGGCCCGCACAAGCGGUGGAACAUGUGGUUUAAUUCGAAGCAACGCGAAGAACCUUACCAGGGCUUGACAUGGUAGGAAGCUUUCGGAAACGAGAGUGUGCCCGCAAGGGA